UUUUUGAAGCAUCUUAGCAGUCAUGAGUUCCUUUGGUUAACACUCUCCCAUAACGGCUGUUGGUAGCUAGUGUGCCUCAAUAUUUCCAGUUAUUUUUUUUCGUUUCCAUGUCGAUAUCUGCAAAUGUUUUCAAUUUUUUUCCGCGUAAUCUCCUAAUUCAAUUAAAUUUUAAAUAUCCUGUAUAACAAAUUUUAAUGAGUUCCCCAGACUUUCCUCAGAGUAGACCUGAAUUCAUGAAUUGGAAUCCUGUUGAUGGAUUUGAUGACAAUACCAUGUCAUUUCAUAAUUUUUCUAGCCGCUUCAAAAUAGAAUUGUUUCAUUGUAGCUGGGGAUGGACCUUGUUGAGAUUGAGUGUGAAUUUGAUCCGUGUUAUUGGUGUUACCUGUUCAUCAUUGAACACGCGUUGAAGAUUGUUCAUGCGAGUCCUCAGGAAGUAACAAGACUUAGACGGAGUAGACCCUUGAGCAUCUGACGAAGUAAGAUCGCAUAUCAACACAAUUCUGCAUCAGAUUUUUUUAUCAAUCUUGUGGCAAUAUCCAGGACGACAGUUACCGCGACCUGAUGAUUUUCUGACUUAACAACAAUUUAACUAAUAUUAAUUUCUUUACAGAUUGAAUUCUUCGUAAAUGCUGACCAGGAUAAUCCAUAGGAAUGUACGAAUGGGCAUUUGAGGACGACAUUCUAAAUAGCGGAGUCAGUUGAUGAGGGAAUCACGAGGAAAGUACUCUUCUCUAUUAACUGUGUAAUUUCUCCAAAACCACGGAUUUACCCACUCAGAGCCUUCUAGUAGCAUCGACAACUCAUAAUCGAUGGAGAUAUUUGAUUUUUAUUAUUCGGAAUGGAAGCAUCAUAAUGGAAUUGGGUCUCUUUUUUCCAAAUGUAGGCGUUAUCUCGUUCUAUUCAUUGGCCUGAACUGAAAUUUUAUUCACUUAUUGACUUUUUAAUUUUCUUUUUUAUGAAAACUUUUAUUUAAAAACUGCGGCUUUAAAAAAUUGUCUGGACGUCCUCUUCGCUCUGUUCGAAGAUAAUAGUAUUUAUCGUUGUUCUUAUUUUUAAGAAAUUUUUCAAAAGAAAUGAAAGAAAGAAAAAGGAAAAAGAAAUUUUUUUUUUAUUUAAAAAAAAUUAAAACUCUUAAAACCCUUUUGAUACUCCGUUUCAAAUCAAUCCACUCACAGCUCAGAAUGUCCGUUUUAGUGCUGCUGUACCUCCGUUGAGAUUAUGACAUUAAGAUAUUACGUCCUUUGAUUUGACUUUUGGAAUGUUUUUUGCGUUUCCUGAUUUUUUUUUAAAGAAUUCACAGACAAGGAUCUCGACUAUUUAUUUAGAUAUGAUGUUUCAAAAUUGUCAAACAGAUAUAUUCAUCCCAUCUACAGGGAAGGUCAGGAGUAAUCUCUUUAUCGAUGGGUCAAGAGGGUCAGCCACUGUACACAUACAGGCUCCAAACAUUGAUUAUAAUAUAUAGGUAUGUGAUGUAUAGAAUAGAUAUACAUUAUUUCUCUAUAUAAUAAAAUAAUAAAGUGAAAAAUUGGGGUGUCAGUGAAAGUUGGAUUAAGGUCACCCCCGUAUAUAUUGUUUCUAUCCCCUAAAAGGUUGGAUUAAGAUUGCAUCAAGGUCGAAUCAAAUUGGGAUUUCAGUUCAGUUGAAAAAGCAUUAAGAUAAGAUUAAAAUCGUCUCAAGGUCAACUAAACAGUUGAUCAUGUAUACUGAAGUUUGAUCACUAUUGAUGUUCAAAAACAAACAGGGAAAUGAGUGAUUGCCCCUCAUUGAGACAGGCGUUCAUUCAAGUCGUUUCUGUGAUUUCAACCUAUUUAGAUUUCGGACACGGAAUCAAUGUCUGCAAGGAAUUGUAAUUAUGAAUGUUAAACCCGUUAUUAUUAUUAUGAUUGUUAGAAACAAAUUGUAAUUGUUAGUCAUGAAAUAUAGAUUUUUGGUUAUCUAUGAUAGAAUACAAGAAAAUUAUAA
This is a long non-coding RNA of Fopius arisanus, 1962 nucleotides long. RefSeq lists it as uncharacterized. The transcript is spliced from 3 exons. Lineage: Eukaryota; Metazoa; Arthropoda; Insecta; Hymenoptera; Braconidae. The record is from RefSeq and is a predicted model, not a curated record.